Molecule: ribosomal RNA, 468 nt
Filed under: Pseudoalteromonas sp. 'Disko Bay 178'
Lineage: Bacteria; Pseudomonadati; Pseudomonadota; Gammaproteobacteria; Alteromonadales; Pseudoalteromonadaceae
Description: bacterial SSU rRNA
Rfam family: Bacterial small subunit ribosomal RNA
Source: RNAcentral
AUUGAACGCUGGCGGCAGGCCUAACACAUGCAAGUCGAGCGGUAACAGAGAGGAGCUUGCUCCUUUGCUGACGAGCGGCGGACGGGUGAGUAAUGCUUGGGAACAUGCCUUGAGGUGGGGGACAACAGUUGGAAACGACUGCUAAUACCGCAUAAUGUCUACGGACCAAAGGGGGCUUCGGCUCUCGCCUUUAGAUUGGCCCAAGUGGGAUUAGCUAGUUGGUGAGGUAAUGGCUCACCAAGGCGACGAUCCCUAGCUGGUUUGAGAGGAUGAUCAGCCACACUGGGACUGAGACACGGCCCAGACUCCUACGGGAGGCAGCAGUGGGGAAUAUUGCACAAUGGGCGCAAGCCUGAUGCAGCCAUGCCGCGUGUGUGAAGAAGGCCUUCGGGUUGUAAAGCACUUUCAGUCAGGAGGAAAGGUUAGUAGUUAAUACCUGCUAGCUGUGACGUUACAUGACAGAAGAAG